Molecule: ribosomal RNA, 468 nt
Filed under: uncultured bacterium
Lineage: Bacteria
Description: partial 16S ribosomal RNA
Rfam family: Bacterial small subunit ribosomal RNA
Source: RNAcentral
GACGAACGCUGGCGGCGUGCUUAACACAUGCAAGUCGAACGGAAAGGCCCUGCUUUUGUGGGGUGCUCGAGUGGCGAACGGGUGAGUAACACGUGAGUAACCUGCCCUUGACUUUGGGAUAACUUCAGGAAACUGGGGCUAAUACCGGAUAGGAGCUCCUGCUGCAUGGUGGGGGUUGGAAAGUUUCGGCGGUUGGGGAUGGACUCGCGGCUUAUCAGCUUGUUGGUGGGGUAGUGGCUUACCAAGGCUUUGACGGGUAGCCGGCCUGAGAGGGUGACCGGCCACAUUGGGAAUGAGAUACGGCCCAGACUCCGACGGGAGGCAGCAGUGGGGAAUAUUGCACAAUGGGCGGAAGCCUGAUGCAGCAACGCCGCGUGCGGGAUGACGGCCUUCGGGUUGUAAACCGCUUUCGCCUGUGACGAAGCGUGAGUGACGGUAAUGGGUAAAGAAGCACCGGCUAACUACGUG